CCAGGGGCUUCUCUGUCGGGCCCCAGCCCCGCAGCCCUCCCUCGCUGCCCAGGCACAGAUUCACCGGAAGAAAGCAGUUGGCAGCAGGGGCUUUCCUAGGCUUCAGUCUACUUCCUCAGCAACCCAGAAUUCCUUCCUGAGGAAAUCCCCAGAGUGCUAAGGAUGUGGAGACUGACCAAAAGGCCUUGGAGCAAAGAGCCUCAAGAGAGGAGACACCAGAAUUGACCAGGGUCAACUGGUGCUCAGAGCCCUCUUCUCCCAGAGACCUAUCCUCAUGUCCCCUGCACUCAUGUGCAGUAGAGCUUCUGACUUCAGCAAGGUGUGAGUUUCACCCACACCACAAAGGAGGAUAUUUCAGGGAAAAGCUAGCAUCACUUUCUAAAGAGUCAGUUUCCAGUAUUUUACUGUGUUGGCUGCCCUCCUGAACACAUUCCCAGC
Sceloporus undulatus (fence lizard) is the source of this 438-nucleotide long non-coding RNA. RefSeq lists it as uncharacterized. The transcript is spliced from 3 exons. NCBI's taxonomy places the organism in Eukaryota, Metazoa, Chordata, Lepidosauria, Squamata, Phrynosomatidae. The record is from RefSeq and is a predicted model, not a curated record.